CUGCUGCCUCCCGUAGGAGUUUGGGCCGUGUCUCAGUCCCAAUGUGGCCGUCCACCCUCUCAGGCCGGCUACUGAUCGUCGCCUUGGUGGGCCCCUACCCCGCCAACAAGCUAAUCAGACGCGGGUCCAUCUUACACCACCGGAGUUUUUCACACCGGGCCAUGCGGCCCUGUGCGCUUAUGCGGUAUUAGCACCUGUUUCCAGGUGUUAUCCCCCUGUGUAAGGCAGGUUACCCACGCGUUACUCACCCGUCCGCCACUCGAAUG
This 266-nucleotide ribosomal RNA is filed under the name uncultured bacterium. RNAcentral describes it as "partial 16S ribosomal RNA". The record is from RNAcentral.